AUUGAACGCUGGCGGCAGGCCUAACACAUGCAAGUCGAGCGGAUGAAGGGAGCUUGCUCCUGGAUUCAGCGGCGGACGGGUGAGUAAUGCCUAGGAAUCUGCCUGGUAGUGGGGGAUAACGUCCGGAAACGGGCGCUAAUACCGCAUACGUCCUGAGGGAGAAAGUGGGGGAUCUUGGGACUUCAGCCUUUAGAUUGAGCCUAGGUCGGAUUAGCUAGUUGGUGGGGUAAAGGCCUACCAAGGCGACGAUCCGUAACUGGUCUGAGAGGAUGAUCAGUCACACUGGAACUGAGACACGGUCCAGACUCCUACGGGAGGCAGCAGUGGGGAAUAUUGGACAAUGGGCGAAAGCCUGAUCCAGCCAUGCCGCGUGUGUGAAGAAGGUCUUCGGAUUGUAAAGCACUUUAAGUUGGGAGGAAGGGCAGUAAGUUAAUACCUUGCUGUUUUGACGUUACCAACAGAAUAAGCACCGGCUAACUUCGUG
This 484-nucleotide ribosomal RNA is filed under the name uncultured bacterium. RNAcentral describes it as "partial 16S ribosomal RNA". It matches the Rfam family "Bacterial small subunit ribosomal RNA", at positions 30 to 507 of the family's 1533-position model. The record is from RNAcentral.